Molecule: ribosomal RNA, 460 nt
Filed under: uncultured bacterium
Lineage: Bacteria
Description: bacterial SSU rRNA
Rfam family: Bacterial small subunit ribosomal RNA
Source: RNAcentral
GCUGUGGAACUCCUACGGGAGGCAGCAGUGGGGAAUAUUGGACAAUGGGCGCAAGCCUGAUCCAGCCAUGCCGCGUGAGUGAUGAAGGCCUUAGGGUUGUAAAGCUCUUUCGACGGGGACGAUAAUGACGGUACCUGUAGAAGAAGCCCCGGCUAACUUCGUGCCAGCAGCCGCGGUAAUACGAAGGGGGCUAGCGUUGCUCGGAAUCACUGGGCGUAAAGCGCACGUAGGCGGAUCUUUAAGUCAGAGGUGAAAUCCCAAGGCUCAACCUUGGAACUGCCUUUGAUACUGGGGAUCUCGAGUCCGGAAGAGGUGAGUGGAACUGCGAGUGUAGAGGUGAAAUUCGUAGAUAUUCGCAAGAACACCAGUGGCGAAGGCGGCUCACUGGUCCGGUACUGACGCUGAGGUGCGAAAGCGUGGGGAGCAAACAGGAUUAGAAACCCUGGUAGUCCUACCACGU